RNAcentral lists this unclassified non-coding RNA (207 nucleotides) under Hevea brasiliensis (rubber tree). Lineage: Eukaryota; Viridiplantae; Streptophyta; Magnoliopsida; Malpighiales; Euphorbiaceae. The record is from RNAcentral.
CCAAAAGAAAGUUCCUUGUCAAUCCUUUUGCAACAAAGCUUAUUGGAUGAUACUGACUUGCUCCAUUUUCCAUCACAAAGCUGGAGGCUUCAUUGAAUCCAUCAUCUAACGACAACUUUGACUUGCAGCUUAGCUUCAGCUGUGCACCAGAUUCAUAGUUCAAUCCACUGUAAACAAAGCAGCCUUCAUUGUCUGCGGACUCCAAGG